This 382-nucleotide ribosomal RNA is filed under the name Mumetopia occipitalis. RNAcentral describes it as "partial 16S ribosomal RNA". Lineage: Eukaryota; Metazoa; Arthropoda; Insecta; Diptera; Anthomyzidae. The record is from RNAcentral.
CGAAGGUAGCAUAAUCAGUAGUCUUUUAAUUGAAGGCUGGUAUGAAUGGUUGGAUGAGAUAUUAACUGUUUCAUUUAAAAUUAUUAUAGAACUUUAUUUUUUAGUUAAAAAGCUAAAAUUUUAUUAAAAGACGAGAAGACCCUAUAAAUCUUUAUAUAUGAUUUAUAUUAAUUAUAUUGAUAUUUUUAAUUAUUAUAAAAUAAUAUAUUUUAUUGGGGUGAUAUUAAAAUUUAAAAAACUUUUAAUUUAUAUAAAACAUAAAUUAAUGAAUUGAUGAUCCAUUAAUAAUGAUUAAAAAUUUAAGUUACUUUAGGGAUAACAGCGUAAUUUUUUUGGAGAGUUCAUAUCGAUAAAAAAGAUUGCGACCUCGAUGUUGGAUUAA